UUCAAUGAUCAGGAUUUCUUCAUUCGCCAAUUUGCUGCAUCUGGGUCAGACAUAUUUGGUCUGAAAUUCUAUGGUCCAUGGGUUAUGCGACUGAUCAAGCUUCACUCUACUGUUGACUAUCAACCCUCUGCAUGCAACCAUCUCAUAUUUCUGCCAGAGGUUGAUAUGUCCGUUGAAGCCAUUUACCCAGAGCCUGCCAAGGAGGCAAUUUAUCUUCACAAUGUCGAUCGUCAGAGUUUCUCUCAGUAUGUUCAAGGUGUUCAGGCUGCUCCUUGUGUUUAUCCGCUGGCUGGCAAUACUCGUCAUGCACGUACUGAAGCCACAGAAAGCACUAUUGCUCCAAGGCCUCGGAAGAGAUCUCGUGUGCUCAAUGACCGAGAGCUUCUCGUGGCCUUGCAUCAGAAACACGACAAGCAUCAUUACUGG
Molecule: ribosomal RNA, 426 nt
Filed under: Triticum aestivum (bread wheat)
Lineage: Eukaryota; Viridiplantae; Streptophyta; Magnoliopsida; Poales; Poaceae
Description: partial small subunit ribosomal RNA
Source: RNAcentral